UACAUCGGUUACAAUCUCUUGUCU
RNAcentral lists this non-coding RNA (24 nucleotides) under Arabidopsis thaliana (thale cress). Lineage: Eukaryota; Viridiplantae; Streptophyta; Magnoliopsida; Brassicales; Brassicaceae. The record is from RNAcentral.